Molecule: small nuclear RNA, 103 nt
Organism: Arvicanthis niloticus (Nile rat)
Lineage: Eukaryota; Metazoa; Chordata; Mammalia; Rodentia; Muridae
Source: RefSeq, a predicted model, not a curated record
GUUUGCUUUGACAGUACAUAUACUAAAAAUUGGAACGAAACAGAGAUUAAGAUGGUCCCUGUUCAAGGAUGGGUCCCUGUUCAAGGAUGACUAGCAAACAUAU